This 255-nucleotide ribosomal RNA is filed under the name uncultured bacterium. Its description in RNAcentral is "partial 16S ribosomal RNA". It matches the Rfam family "Bacterial small subunit ribosomal RNA", at positions 524 to 777 of the family's 1533-position model. The record is from RNAcentral.
UACGUAGGGGGCGAGCGUUGUCCGGAGUUACUGGGCGUAAAGCGCACGCAGGCGGUCUGUUAAGUUUGGAGUGACAGUUGGUGGCUCAACCACCAAAGUGCUUUGAAAACUGAUAGACUUGAGGGCUUCAGAGGGACACGGAAUUCCGGGUGGAGUGGUGAAAUGCGUAGAGAUCCGGAGGAACACCAAAGGCGAAGGCAGUGUCCUGGGGAGUACCGUGACGCUCAGGUGCGAAAGCCAGGGGAGCGAACGGGG